AUGGUGUGCGAUGAGUGGGAAGUUGCCACGCUUGUCCCUGAAGUAUCUACUAAGGAGUUCCAUGGCGCCAUCGCAUUGAUCGCCAACUUCUUAGAAGGGCGUGGAUGGCGCAUCAACUACACAUCUCGUUGUGGUAUGGGUACUACUUUGAUCCAAUUUACUACUGCGUGCUCUAGAGACACUGCGGUCAGCCAUAGUCCAUUUCAGAUUGGAGACUUUGUUCUUAGAAUUAGCAGACAAGAUAGAGGCAUUAAUUACCGCAGCAUUACUUUCACUCAUGAUGUCUGGAUCUUACUCAUGAACUAUCCUCUGGAGUGUUGGGAUGUGGGAGUCAUCAACCGCACGGCUUCACCUUAUGUUCGUUUUUUGAUCUGGAACAAAGACCCAAGGGACAAAACGAGGGUUAUUAUCAAGCUCAGGGUUAUGAAUGUGGACACCAUUCCCAUUAGCAUUGUUGUACUUAGAAAUCUUGAUGAUGUUGGAUAUGGUGACUCUUGGACAUGCCCCACUUACAUUCUGUCUAGGGUUAACUGGUCAGUAAGGUGGAGACGAAGAUCCACUGCCCCCUAA
This 570-nucleotide ribosomal RNA is filed under the name Triticum aestivum (bread wheat). RNAcentral's name for it is "partial small subunit ribosomal RNA". Lineage: Eukaryota; Viridiplantae; Streptophyta; Magnoliopsida; Poales; Poaceae. The record is from RNAcentral.